Molecule: transfer RNA, 72 nt
Filed under: Salmo salar (Atlantic salmon)
Lineage: Eukaryota; Metazoa; Chordata; Actinopteri; Salmoniformes; Salmonidae
Rfam family: tRNA
About the family: Transfer RNA (tRNA) molecules are approximately 80 nucleotides in length. Their secondary structure includes four short double-helical elements and three loops (D, anti-codon, and T loops).
Source: Rfam by way of RNAcentral
UCCUGUGUGGCUCAGUUGGUAGAGCAUGGUGUUUGCAACGCCAGGGUUGUGGGUUCAAUUCCCAAGCGGGAC